Molecule: unclassified non-coding RNA, 238 nt
Filed under: Hevea brasiliensis (rubber tree)
Lineage: Eukaryota; Viridiplantae; Streptophyta; Magnoliopsida; Malpighiales; Euphorbiaceae
Source: RNAcentral
GCCGGGCCAGAUGAGAUCCGGGCGGCGUUCCGGCGUCAGGCGAGGCAGUGGCACCCCGAUGUCUGCCCCUCUUCGAGCGACCAUAAAUUAUUUGCUGAGCAGUUCAUCCGAGCAAGGGAGGCUUACGAGGUGCUGUCGGAUCCGGAUCUCCGCCAGGAUUACGAUCUCGCCCUCGGUGCCGGCGUGCCGCACCAGACGGGCGCCGAUCGGAGAGGGGAGCGAUCCGGUGGUAGAUUUG